GAUGAACGCUGGCGGCGUGCCUAAUACAUGCAAGUCGAGCGAACGGACGAGAAGCUUGCUUCUCUGAUGUUAGCGGCGGACGGGUGAGUAACACGUGGAUAACCUACCUAUAAGACUGGGAUAACUUCGGGAAACCGGAGCUAAUACCGGAUAAUAUUUUGAACCGCAUGGUUCAAAAGUGAAAGACGGUCUUGCUGUCACUUAUAGAUGGAUCCGCGCUGCAUUAGCUAGUUGGUAAGGUAACGGCUUACCAAGGCAACGAUGCAUAGCGGACCUGAGAGGGUGAUCGGCCACACUGGAACUGAGACACGGUCCAGACUCCUACGGGAGGCAGCAGAAGGGAAUCUUCCGCAAUGGGCGAAAGCCUGACGGAGCAACGCCGCGUGAGUGAUGAAGGUCUUCGGAUCGUAAAACUCUGUUAUUGGGGAAGAACAUAUGUGUAAGUAACUGUGCACAUCUUGACGGUACCUAAUCAGAAAGCCACGGCUAACUACGUG
RNAcentral lists this ribosomal RNA (497 nucleotides) under uncultured bacterium. RNAcentral describes it as "partial 16S ribosomal RNA". It matches the Rfam family "Bacterial small subunit ribosomal RNA", at positions 28 to 507 of the family's 1533-position model. The record is from RNAcentral.